UACGUAGGGUGCAAGCGUUAAUCGGAAUUACUGGGCGUAAAGCGUGCGCAGGCGGUUCGCUAAGACAGAUGUGAAAUCCCCGGGCUUAACCUGGGAACUGCAUUUGUGACUGGCGGGCUAGAGUAUGGCAGAGGGGGGUAGAAUUCCACGUGUAGCAGAGAAAUGCGUAGAGAUGUGGAGGAAUACCGAUGGCGAAGGCAGCCCCCUGGGCCAAUACUGACGCUCAUGCACGAAAGCGUGGGGAGCAAACAGG
Molecule: ribosomal RNA, 253 nt
Filed under: uncultured bacterium
Lineage: Bacteria
Description: partial 16S ribosomal RNA
Rfam family: Bacterial small subunit ribosomal RNA
Source: RNAcentral